CCAUGAAAGGGGCCGCCGAGUUGUGGAAAACUCUAGUAUUGUGUUCCAACCAAACCUCCCAAGAGAUGAGCAUUGUGAGGGAGGCAAGCGCCUUGGGUGAGCCGAGCCGGAUCUGAAGGUUACUAUUCCACCAUUCUCUUACCGAAGCCCUCGUCACCCAAGUAGAGACGUGGAGAUGUGAUGCAUGCCGAGCCAUGGGAGGACGUCAUUCCAAAUGCGCAUGGUGUAGCGGCACUGGAAGAGGAGAUGAGCCGUGGUUUCUUGGGUUUGUUUGCAAAGAGGGCAUAGACCGCAAUUAGGCCAACCACGACGGCUCAAGCUGUUUCUAAAUAUAAGACGUCCCUGCCAAAACAUCUUAUAUUUAGGAGCGAGGUAGUAGAUCAUUUGCCCUGCUAUGGAUUGCAGUAAUGUGCCACCAAUAGUCAUUGACUGUAUUUGCUUUAGCUAAUUGCUAUACACACACUACUACUACAGAAAACAGGAGCCUAGUUUCUCUGUUAUGUAUAUCAUGUUACUUAUGAUCACACUGUUAGGAAAGCAACUUGUCUCUAUUGAAGGCUCAAGGGGCAUAUAUAUAUAUUACACAUGACUUGAGGUGCAAGGAAAGUAAACAUAGACUAAUAAGGACUCCUAGACUAAUACUAAUAGACUAAUAAGGACUCCUAGACUAAUACUAAUACUUCCUAACACCCCCCCUCAAAUGCAAAGCGUAUGCAAUAGCAUUGCAUUUGAAGAAGUGUAAUACUAAAAUGAUAAUCCAAAUCCGCGUCUUGAGAGUGUCGUCGUAGCAUGAAGAGUCUUCAAAACUUGUCGAGUCGCCGAAGGAGAUAACGAAGAGAUGGCACAUCAGAGGUAGACACUGCAUCACUUGAAGAUACAAGAUAAGUAUCAAGAG
RNAcentral lists this long non-coding RNA (895 nucleotides) under Hordeum vulgare. RNAcentral describes it as "long non-coding RNA (HVUL_LNC015350)". The record is from RNAcentral. Lineage: Eukaryota; Viridiplantae; Streptophyta; Magnoliopsida; Poales; Poaceae.